UCGAAUGAUGUUUUAGUGUGUAAUCUCUCUCAUUAGAUCCUCGGAUCUAUGUAGAAAAAUUCAUCCAUCACUGA
This 74-nucleotide small nucleolar RNA is filed under the name Tetrahymena elliotti 4EA. RNAcentral describes it as "Tetrahymena snoRNA TtnuCD14". It matches the Rfam family "Tetrahymena snoRNA TtnuCD14". The record is from Rfam by way of RNAcentral. Lineage: Eukaryota; Ciliophora; Oligohymenophorea; Hymenostomatida; Tetrahymenidae.